Molecule: ribosomal RNA, 253 nt
Filed under: uncultured bacterium
Lineage: Bacteria
Description: partial 16S ribosomal RNA
Rfam family: Bacterial small subunit ribosomal RNA
Source: RNAcentral
UACGUAGGGACCGAGCGUUGUCCGGAUUCAUUGGGCGUAAAGAGCUCGUAGGCGGCUGUUCAAGUCGAACGUGAAAACUCGGAGCUCAACUCCGAGCCUGCGUUCGAUACUGGACGGCUAGAGUCUGGUAGGGGGAUCUGGAAUUCCUGGUGUAGCGGUGGAAUGCGCAGAUAUCAGGAGGAACACCGGUGGCGAAAGCGGCUCACUGGACCGUAACUGACGCUGAGGUGCGAAAGCGUGGGGAGCAAACAGG